CAGAUGGGGCCGCUACUGUAUGGCAGAUUGAGUUUCUCAGCAGAAAACUCACCCUCCCUCCUAAACGUCUUCAAAAACCUUCUCCAGAUACUACAGGUCUCUUCGUGUGAAACUGAAAAAGUCCAUCACCAAAGUUGGUUUUGCGUGCUUGUGUGUAUGUCAGGUCCCCACCCCCCUUUCCUUCCUCUUCUUUUUUCUCUGCACUUCCUCGUCCUCUGAGCAUCUUCGACACGCUGGGCUACCCAGCUGCUGAGAGCGCAGACCCGGCGGGCCUGCUGGUUCCUGUUCGCGCGACCCACAGCGCGGCGGCGUCGACACAGCACCGAGAGGCCCCGAAGGCAAUCCGAAGGGAGAGGAAGUGAUGAAGAGGAUUAACACCCUGCUUCUAAUUCUGGCCAACUCGGAGGCCCUGCAUGGAAAAUCAGAUGUGACAGGAAUCCUGGAAGAGGGCCACCUGGCCAUCAGAAAAUUCCAGAGGGAUGUGGUCACUGCCAGACACACACUUGGUUUAUCUGGUCCACGUAGAUGGAAGAAACUAGUCUAGACGUCCAAUUUUCAGACUAAUAAAAGUUAUGGAGCUAUGUGGUGUUAUGGAAGUGAAUGUCAUAUUGCCGUGAGUAAUGAAGUGAGAUCCCAGCAGUACCCACUGUACCAAGAAGCUGAGCGUUGACUGAAGGUAUGAAGGCUUCUAGACUCUCACCAUGAACUGUGCCACACGUUGAAAUUGAAAUGUGGAUCCCUUGGAAUAACUUCUUUGUUUCCUGUUUUAUGAAGGUCAGAGGGUGGGAGUGAAAACUUACCAGUAACCAAACAUGGUGGUAUCAAGCCUAAUUAGAAAUAAAAAAACUACUAAAAUCCA
Ailuropoda melanoleuca (giant panda) is the source of this 859-nucleotide long non-coding RNA. RefSeq lists it as uncharacterized. The record is from RefSeq and is a predicted model, not a curated record. The transcript is spliced from 4 exons. NCBI's taxonomy places the organism in Eukaryota, Metazoa, Chordata, Mammalia, Carnivora, Ursidae.